CAUCUAGACAGAUUAGCUAGAUGGAGUGUCAAUAGGUUAUCAUAAACGAAUUAACUACUAAGCUUGAUUUUGAAACCAAUGAGUUUUUCUACCUUUUGAUAGGUUUAAUGAGGAGUUUAGGUGAGUUUUAUAGGUAUUUUGAAUGGUUAAUAUGGAGAUUUAGAAGUUGGAAAGUGUUUGUAAUGGUGUCUAAGUGGCAACGACUAGUCCAAAACAUUGUGAAAGAGUUGAAUAUCUUGGCAUGUAAGGAGUAGCUUUAGUAAUUUGGGUGAAUUGAUCUUAAUCUUGAGGAUUUUGAGUGGUUGAUAAGUUACAGUUUGAUGUUAGGUUGUGUUGGAAUGAUAGGGACAAAGCUUUUUGUUAAUAUACAUGAGCUUUGUGAAAAAAAAAAGCAUAAUGACAUACUAAAAAGUUAAGGUUGAUUAGUCAAGAGUGUGUUGAUUGAAUGUGUCAUAAUUUGGCUUUUCUAAAGUUUCAACAAUUUGUUAAGCAAGGGUUCGAGGUAAACUAGAGGUUUUGGUUAGAGUUUCAAGUUACUCCAGUUGUUAUAGGUGGUUGGGGGAGGCUUUUUAAAUGCUAGAAAUAAAGGAGUUGAAGAGAAUUCCUUAAGAUAUUAGGAGAGUUUUAAGGAAGGUUUAAAACUAAGUUUAUUAGAGUGGAAGAAGAUAAUCGAUAAAGAUGCUUGAAUGAGGAAAUGAAAAUGGAUAUUUAUAGUCAAAGAUUAAGGGCAUUUUGGAAAUAG
RNAcentral lists this long non-coding RNA (742 nucleotides) under Durio zibethinus. RNAcentral describes it as "long non-coding RNA (DZIB_LNC001637)". Lineage: Eukaryota; Viridiplantae; Streptophyta; Magnoliopsida; Malvales; Malvaceae. The record is from RNAcentral.